ANNGGNCUAUNAUGCAGUGAGCGAAUGAUGAGGAGCUUGCUCCUCUGAUUUAGCGGCGGACGGGUGAGUAACACGGUGGGUAAUCUGCCUGUAAGACGGGGAUAACUCCGGGAAACCGGGGCUAAUACCGGAUAACAAGAGAAGAUGCAUAUCUUCUUUUUGAAAGUCGGUUUCGGCUGACACUUACAGAUGAGCCCGCGGCGCAUUAGCUAGUUGGUGAGGUAACGGCUCACCAAGGCGACGAUGCGUAGCCGACCUGAGAGGGUGAUCGGCCACACUGGGACUGAGACACGGCCCAGACUCCUACGGGAGGCAGCAGA
This 320-nucleotide ribosomal RNA is filed under the name Bacillus sp. RNM-0-5-7-W. RNAcentral describes it as "bacterial SSU rRNA". It matches the Rfam family "Bacterial small subunit ribosomal RNA", at positions 55 to 353 of the family's 1533-position model. The record is from RNAcentral. Lineage: Bacteria; Bacillati; Bacillota; Bacilli; Caryophanales; Bacillaceae.